RNAcentral lists this ribosomal RNA (253 nucleotides) under uncultured bacterium. RNAcentral's name for it is "partial 16S ribosomal RNA". It matches the Rfam family "Bacterial small subunit ribosomal RNA", at positions 524 to 776 of the family's 1533-position model. The record is from RNAcentral.
UACGAAGGGGGCGAGCGUUGUUCGGAAUCACUGGGCGUAAAGGGCGCGUAGGCGGCCCUCUUAGUCGCGUGUGAAAGCCCCGGGCUCAACCUGGGAACGGCGCGCGAAACGGGAGGGCUGGAGUUCGGGAGAGGAGAGUGGAAUUCCCAGUGUAGAGGUGAAAUUCGUAGAUAUUCGCAAGAACACCAGUGGCGAAGGCGGCUCACUGGCCCGAUACUGACGCUGAGGCACGAAAGCGUGGGGAGCAAACAGG